Molecule: non-coding RNA, 375 nt
Organism: Pelobates cultripes (western spadefoot toad)
Lineage: Eukaryota; Metazoa; Chordata; Amphibia; Anura; Pelobatidae
Source: the annotation of a GenBank genome assembly
CCCCAGGCCGGUACACCCUAAGAGGGCCCGCUUGUGCCGCCUUAUGGAUGCAGUAACCCACCCAAUUAUCAGUCAAUACUUACCCAAAAAAAAAACAGAAUGUCGGCAAAACCGAUAAUCGGUUGAUCCAUGUAGUUAUGGUAAUAAGCCCAGGCAGUUUGGAGUUGUGGUAAUAAGCCCAGGCAGUGUGACAGUGUAUGGUUGUGGUAAUAAGCUCAGGGCGUGUGACAGUGUGUGAUUCAGGGCUUUAAUUCUGUCCAUAAGGGGACAUGUGCCCAGUAUUCAGGUGUCUGUCUGACCCUACCUCUCUCUUCAUAGUAACAGAACUGGAAUAUUGCUCCCUGGUAAGUAUUGUGUACACAGGGCUGUAACAUU